UGGAUUUUGUUUGAAAGGUGGCUUCGGCUAUCACUUCUGGAUGAUCCCGCGGCGUAUUAGUUAGUUGGUGAGGUAAAGGCCCACCAAGACGAUGAUACGUAGCCGACCUGAGAGGGUAAUCGGCCACAUUGGGACUGAGACACGGCCCAAACUCCUACGGGAGGCAGCAGUAGGGAAUCUUCCACAAUGGACGAAAGUCUGAUGGAGCAAUGCCGCGUGAGUGAAGAAGGGUUUCGGCUCGUAAAACUCUGUUGUUAAAGAAGAACACCUUUGAGAGUAACUGUUCAAGGGUUGACGGUAUUUAACCAGAAAGCCACGGCUAACUACGUGCCAGCAGCCGCGGUAAUACGUAGGUGGCAAGCGUUGUCCGGAUUUAUUGGGCGUAAAGCGAGCGCAGGCGGUUUUUUAAGUCUGAUGUGAAAGCCUUCGGCUUAACCGGAGAAGUGCAUCGGAAACUGGGAGACUUGAGUGCAGAAGAGGACAGUGGAACUCCAUGUGUAGCGGUGGAAUGCGUAGAUAUAUGGAAGAACACCAGUGGCGAAGCGGCUGUCUAGUCUGUAACUGACGCUGAGGCUCG
Molecule: ribosomal RNA, 577 nt
Filed under: Levilactobacillus brevis
Lineage: Bacteria; Bacillati; Bacillota; Bacilli; Lactobacillales; Lactobacillaceae
Description: bacterial SSU rRNA
Rfam family: Bacterial small subunit ribosomal RNA
Source: RNAcentral